RNAcentral lists this transfer RNA (91 nucleotides) under Sordaria sp. MPI-SDFR-AT-0083. RNAcentral's name for it is "tRNA-Ala". It matches the Rfam family "tRNA". Rfam says of the family: Transfer RNA (tRNA) molecules are approximately 80 nucleotides in length. Their secondary structure includes four short double-helical elements and three loops (D, anti-codon, and T loops). Lineage: Eukaryota; Fungi; Ascomycota; Sordariomycetes; Sordariales; Sordariaceae. The record is from RNAcentral.
GGGCGUGUGGCUCAGUUGGUAGAGCGUUCGCUUAGCAUACUUACCUACAGGUGUAUGCGAAAGGUCCUGGGUUCGAUUCCCAGCUCGUCCA